AAUAGCAAUAUCAAUCUUGGGAGCGUCUCCUCCUUCUCUGUUAAAUUCUUGUUGCACAUUCUACACAUGUACUAAAGCCCGUGCCACUGUUCAAUGUUCAUAAUGGCAUGAAAAGACGGCUCUGCCCUUCUUUUUUCCAUGAAUUACGGGCUGCCACUGUCAAUCUGGAUUCCGCUGCUGGAAUAGAGAGGAAGAGAAGAGGAUUUGGUUUCGAUAAUACCCAAUUCGUGGUUUUAAUCUUUGCCCAUUCGUGGGUGGGUAUAUAAGCAUAAGCAUCAGGUCUCGAAGCAGUGUCUACACCGACAUCAACUCUUCCAGAUUAUCAACUCUUCCAGAUUAUCAACUCAGCCACCAAGAUCAACAGCGCUGCAAGCUUGCUAGGGCUAAGCUUUUUCUUUUGUUGGAUGUUAUUGAUGACUAUAGUUGUUUUUAGUUUUUCAUUAUCCAAAAGAUUAAAGCUUUUUGUUUUUUGAAUUACACUUGCCUAAGAGCUGUGGCUUUUGAUAUUCUGAAACAACAAUAGCCUGUAGUAUGGACAUGUGCCUGGUCUGUCAAUUUGUUAGUCUAGGCAAGCAAUGCAUUACUACAGUUGGUGAUUUUUUUUCUUUUUUUUUUUUGACAGGAUAGAGCAAAGUCGCUUAAGUUACCAAACCAUGUUGGAAUUGAUUGUAGGAACACUCAGAUUACACGAAAAUGCUUUGUGGGAGAUUGGGCAUACUGAUCCUAUACUGGUUUGAGAAAGCUAAUUAACCAUCAAAAGUGGAGGCAGUCAUAUAUCUUUCUUGCAUCUUUGGUUCUCGGAUUUGCCUGUGUAAUUCAUCAAAUGCAAGAGGCCUCCAAGUACUAGGCCCUUCACUGUCAUCAAAAACAGGAAGUCUUUGUUUGAACAUUUAGAAGCACAUUACUAAUACAAAAUGCACAGUAUUAGUGUGUCACCUAUGAAGCCAGAUUCCUCUGCUUCAACAAUUCUGUAGACAUGAGCUGGUAAGAAGGAAAUUAAUUGUCAUUUGAUAAAGAGUGAAAGCAUUUCUUGCUUGAGCAUUUAAUUGAAGAAAGGAACCAAGUAUAUUCUUUAGAAAACAAGUUUAUCUCCAAAUUCAAGUAGGCAUAGAGAGAUAUAACACACAUUUUCAGAAAUGCUUUGUGGGAGAUUGGGCAUGCUGGUGCUAUGUGGUUUUGAGAAAGCUAACUAACCAUCAAAAGAGGAGGCAAUCAUUUCUUUCUUGCGUCUUUGGUUCUCGGAUUUGCCUGUGUAACUCAUCAAGUGCAAGAGGCCUCCAAGUACAAGGCCCUUCACUGUCAUGAAAAACAGGAAGUCUUUGUUUGAAGAUUUAGAAGCACAUUGCUAAUACAAGUGUUAAGAAGCUUCACAUCUCAGGCAUUGACAACUUCCAGAUUGCACAGUAUUAGUUGUGUCACCUAUGAAGCCAAAUUCCUCUGCUUCCACAAUUCUGUAAGUUCCAUGCUUCGGUCAACAACAUGAGUUAUUUAAUGAUUAAAUAAAUUGGGGUAUUGGUAAACUGACAGAAUUGGGUAUACCCAGUUAGUGUGAUUAGGCGAAUAUGGAUUUUUUGCAUCCAUGUACUGCUAAUAGAGUAACUGAGCUUCCCUGGUUUAAAGAUGAAGUUCUUAUCAACUUCAUUCAUGGUCUUUUGGAUGUAAAGGAAGUGAAUGGAAAAGAAAUUCAAAUUUCUUUUGGUACUGUAUACUGUAAACAAUGAGGAAUUAAAUAAGCAAUACCUGAUCCAACAAUAUCAUGAAACUCAUAAACUUAAAUAAAAAUACCAGUACAUAAAAAAAGGACUGAUGAUAAAGACUUCAGAGUUCAGACCAAAAGAGAAAAAAAGGAUAAGGUCUGAAACUUUGAUGGAUGAAAUAGAUGGAAGCGCAUUACUCUGAGCAAUGCUAAGAUAAGCAAGGAGGCUGGAGGAGAGUUUAAUAUUUUUGAUGGGUCGGUGAUGGGUUAGAAUUUGGAGUUGCAUUGUACAGAAUUGGAGAUUUGGAAGUUGGCUAGAUGGGAUUCAGUCAACAGUAUAGUUAUAUUGUUGUGUUGUUGGUUGGUAUUGUGAUUUGUGGAUUGAGUUUGGUUUGUUUGGUUUCGCGGGUGCUUACUCUUCAGGAGCCUGAACGUGGUCUUCGCAUCGUCAAGCUAACCCAUGUGGAUGUUCUGAAGAAGACAGUGCCUCUAAUAUUUCAGUGGCAGUCCAUCACAUCCAACAGCAAAUGAAGCUUCCACUAACACAAAAGAGAACUUCCAAGUAGAUGAACUAAUGGAUGACACGUACUGAUGAAGAUCUCAUGUAAUGAUUGGUUCGAACUUCGAAUGUAGAACAUUUUGCUAAGCACUAACCAUAUUUGUCAGUUGUAUAUAAACAUCUUGGGUGCCACAUUUUUCUUUUGGUCAAUGGAAUAGCCAAUUUUUGAAAACUGUAAAAUGUGAAUGAUAAAUUUGGUUAAAACA
Molecule: long non-coding RNA, 2461 nt
Organism: Rosa chinensis
Lineage: Eukaryota; Viridiplantae; Streptophyta; Magnoliopsida; Rosales; Rosaceae
Exons: 11
Source: RefSeq, a predicted model, not a curated record